GAUGAACGCUGGCGGCGUGCCUAAUACAUGCAAGUCGAGCGAACAGACGAGGAGCUUGCUCCUCUGAUGUUAGCGGCGGACGGGUGAGUAACACGUGGAUAACCUACCUAUAAGACUGGGAUAACUUCGGGAAACCGGAGCUAAUACCGGAUAACAUGUUGAACCGCAUGGUUCAACAGUGAAAGACGGUCUUGCUGUCACUUAUAGAUGGAUCCGCGCCGCACUAGCUAGUUGGUAAGGUAACGGCUUACCAAGGCAACGAUGCGUAGCCGACCUGAGAGGGUGAUCGGCCACACUGGAACUGAGACACGGUCCAGACUCCUACGGGAGGCAGCAGUAGGGAAUCUUCCGCAAUGGGCGAAAGCCUGACGGAGCAACGCCGCGUGAGUGAAGAAGGUCUUCGGAUCGUAAAACUCUGUUAUUAGGGAAGAACAAAUGUGUAAGUAACUAUGCACGUCUUGACGGUACCUAAUCAGAAAGCCACGGCUAACUACGUG
RNAcentral lists this ribosomal RNA (497 nucleotides) under uncultured bacterium. RNAcentral describes it as "partial 16S ribosomal RNA". It matches the Rfam family "Bacterial small subunit ribosomal RNA", at positions 28 to 507 of the family's 1533-position model. The record is from RNAcentral.